This is a long non-coding RNA of Sinocyclocheilus grahami, 418 nucleotides long. RefSeq lists it as uncharacterized. The transcript has 4 exons. The record is from RefSeq and is a predicted model, not a curated record. Lineage: Eukaryota; Metazoa; Chordata; Actinopteri; Cypriniformes; Cyprinidae.
UUUUAGUAUGCUCUACACGUUGUGUUGGGAGCCCCCUUUGACUUUACAUCUCAUGACUUUCCAAAAAUCAGGAGAUGGUGGGCACUAAUUCUUUUGGAGAACUUUGGAGUUGUCCCAGAAAGGACAGAAAACCUCUAGAAGACACUAGAGCUACAUGAAGAACAAGCUACACCCAGCAGCAGUGAGGAGCUCACUAUAAUCUAACACAUGAAACUGGCUGUAAAAUGGAUACAUGCCAAUAGACAUGUGUUCAGGGGCCCUGUGGAAGAGCCUCUUUUCCUCAGAAUGGAAGAGGAUGACAAGGAAAAGUCCCUCCAAAAUCUCAUCAAAGAUGUGGAAGACUGCAGAGACCCAUUCACAUUUAAUUUUUCAUUCAGGGAAGACAUGGAGAUUUUUUUAGUUGAAUGCCAUGAAAAAA